AGGGAUAUGCUGGAAAGGUAUACAGGCUUCAUUUAGGUUGAAGUGCAAUGUGACAUAUAAGUUCAAAUCUUAUUAUCCUUA
This 81-nucleotide transfer RNA is filed under the name Emericellopsis fuci. Its description in RNAcentral is "Acremonium fuci tRNA-Leu". It matches the Rfam family "tRNA". From Rfam's summary of the family: Transfer RNA (tRNA) molecules are approximately 80 nucleotides in length. Lineage: Eukaryota; Fungi; Ascomycota; Sordariomycetes; Hypocreales; Bionectriaceae. The record is from RNAcentral. RNAcentral also lists the same sequence under 2 other names.